This 2903-nucleotide ribosomal RNA is filed under the name Escherichia coli BIDMC 83. RNAcentral describes it as "bacterial LSU rRNA". It matches the Rfam family "Bacterial large subunit ribosomal RNA". The record is from RNAcentral. Lineage: Bacteria; Pseudomonadati; Pseudomonadota; Gammaproteobacteria; Enterobacterales; Enterobacteriaceae.
UUAAGCGACUAAGCGUACACGGUGGAUGCCCUGGCAGUCAGAGGCGAUGAAGGACGUGCUAAUCUGCGAUAAGCGUCGGUGAGGUGAUAUGAACCGUUAUAACCGGCGAUUUCCGAAUGGGGAAACCCAGUGUGUUUCGACACACUAUCAUUAACUGAAUCCAUAGGUUAAUGAGGCGAACCGGGGGAACUGAAACAUCUAAGUACCCCGAGGAAAAGAAAUCAACCGAGAUUCCCCCAGUAGCGGCGAGCGAACGGGGAGGAGCCCAGAGCCUGAAUCAGUGUGUGUGUUAGUGGAAGCGUCUGGAAAGGCGUGCGAUACAGGGUGACAGCCCCGUACACAAAAAUGCACAUAUUGUGAGCUCGAUGAGUAGGGCGGGACACGUGGUAUCCUGUCUGAAUAUGGGGGGACCAUCCUCCAAGGCUAAAUACUCCUGACUGACCGAUAGUGAACCAGUACCGUGAGGGAAAGGCGAAAAGAACCCCGGCGAGGGGAGUGAAAAAGAACCUGAAACCGUGUACGUACAAGCAGUGGGAGCCUCUUAAUGGGGUGACUGCGUACCUUUUGUAUAAUGGGUCAGCGACUUAUAUUCUGUAGCAAGGUUAACCGAAUAGGGGAGCCGAAGGGAAACCGAGUCUUAACUGGGCGUUAAGUUGCAGGGUAUAGACCCGAAACCCGGUGAUCUAGCCAUGGGCAGGUUGAAGGUUGGGUAACACUAACUGGAGGACCGAACCGACUAAUGUUGAAAAAUUAGCGGAUGACUUGUGGCUGGGGGUGAAAGGCCAAUCAAACCGGGAGAUAGCUGGUUCUCCCCGAAAGCUAUUUAGGUAGCGCCUCGUGAAUUCAUCUCCGGGGGUAGAGCACUGUUUCGGCAAGGGGGUCAUCCCGACUUACCAACCCGAUGCAAACUGCGAAUACCGGAGAAUGUUAUCACGGGAGACACACGGCGGGUGCUAACGUCCGUCGUGAAGAGGGAAACAACCCAGACCGCCGGCUAAGGUCCCAAAGUCAUGGUUAAGUGGGAAACGAUGUGGGAAGGCCCAGACAGCCAGGAUGUUGGCUUAGAAGCAGCCAUCAUUUAAAGAAAGCGUAAUAGCUCACUGGUCGAGUCGGCCUGCGCGGAAGAUGUAACGGGGCUAAACCAUGCACCGAAGCUGCGGCAGCGACGCUUAUGCGUUGUUGGGUAGGGGAGCGUUCUGUAAGCCUGUGAAGGUGGCCUGUGAGGGUUGCUGGAGGUAUCAGAAGUGCGAAUGCUGACAUAAGUAACGAUAAAGCGGGUGAAAAGCCCGCUCGCCGGAAGACCAAGGGUUCCUGUCCAACGUUAAUCGGGGCAGGGUGAGUCGACCCCUAAGGCGAGGCCGAAAGGCGUAGUCGAUGGGAAACAGGUUAAUAUUCCUGUACUUGGUGUUACUGCGAAGGGGGGACGGAGAAGGCUAUGUUGGCCGGGCGACGGUUGUCCCGGUUUAAGCGUGUAGGCUGGUUUUCCAGGCAAAUCCGGAAAACCAAGGCUGAGGCGUGAUGACGAGGCACUACGGUGCUGAAGCGACAAAUGCCCUGCUUCCAGGAAAAGCCUCUAAGCAUCAGGUAACAUCAAAUCGUACCCCAAACCGACACAGGUGGUCAGGUAGAGAAUACCAAGGCGCUUGAGAGAACUCGGGUGAAGGAACUAGGCAAAAUGGUGCCGUAACUUCGGGAGAAGGCACGCUGAUAUGUAGGUGAAGCGACUUGCUCGUGGAGCUGAAAUCAGUCGAAGAUACCAGCUGGCUGCAACUGUUUAUUAAAAACACAGCACUGUGCAAACACGAAAGUGGACGUAUACGGUGUGACGCCUGCCCGGUGCCGGAAGGUUAAUUGAUGGGGUUAGCGGCAACGCGAAGCUCUUGAUCGAAGCCCCGGUAAACGGCGGCCGUAACUAUAACGGUCCUAAGGUAGCGAAAUUCCUUGUCGGGUAAGUUCCGACCUGCACGAAUGGCGUAAUGAUGGCCAGGCUGUCUCCACCCGAGACUCAGUGAAAUUGAACUCGCUGUGAAGAUGCAGUGUACCCGCGGCAAGACGGAAAGACCCCGUGAACCUUUACUAUAGCUUGACACUGAACAUUGAGCCUUGAUGUGUAGGAUAGGUGGGAGGCUUUGAAGUGUGGACGCCAGUCUGCAUGGAGCCGACCUUGAAAUACCACCCUUUAAUGUUUGAUGUUCUAACGUUGGCCCGUAAUCCGGGUUGCGGACAGUGUCUGGUGGGUAGUUUGACUGGGGCGGUCUCCUCCUAAAGAGUAACGGAGGAGCACGAAGGUUGGCUAAUCCUGGUCGGACAUCAGGAGGUUAGUGCAAUGGCAUAAGCCAGCUUGACUGCGAGCGUGACGGCGCGAGCAGGUGCGAAAGCAGGUCAUAGUGAUCCGGUGGUUCUGAAUGGAAGGGCCAUCGCUCAACGGAUAAAAGGUACUCCGGGGAUAACAGGCUGAUACCGCCCAAGAGUUCAUAUCGACGGCGGUGUUUGGCACCUCGAUGUCGGCUCAUCACAUCCUGGGGCUGAAGUAGGUCCCAAGGGUAUGGCUGUUCGCCAUUUAAAGUGGUACGCGAGCUGGGUUUAGAACGUCGUGAGACAGUUCGGUCCCUAUCUGCCGUGGGCGCUGGAGAACUGAGGGGGGCUGCUCCUAGUACGAGAGGACCGGAGUGGACGCAUCACUGGUGUUCGGGUUGUCAUGCCAAUGGCACUGCCCGGUAGCUAAAUGCGGAAGAGAUAAGUGCUGAAAGCAUCUAAGCACGAAACUUGCCCCGAGAUGAGUUCUCCCUGACUCCUUGAGAGUCCUGAAGGAACGUUGAAGACGACGACGUUGAUAGGCCGGGUGUGUAAGCGCAGCGAUGCGUUGAGCUAACCGGUACUAAUGAACCGUGAGGCUUAACCUU